CGAGUCGGUCAGGCGAUCGCUUCUCGCGGCUUUCGGGCUCGCGGGGGGAGGAAAGUCCGGGCUCCACAGGGCAGGGUGCCAGGUAACGCCUGGGGGGCGAGAGCCUACGGAAAGUGCAGCAGAAAGGAAACCGCCCAAAGAAGGGGUUCGCCCCUUUUUGAGAACCGCUAAAAGGGGUCUGACCCCUUUUAUGGUUGGGUAAGGGUGAAAAGGUGCGGUAAGAGCGCACCGCGCGGCUGGUAACAGGCGUGGCGAUGGUAAACCCCACCCGGAGCAAGACCAAAUAGGAAUCCGUAAGCCGUGGCCCGCGGUGGAUUCGGGUAGGUCGCUUCAGGCAGCUGGCGACAGCUGUCGCAGAUGAAUGGUCGUCCACGACAGAACCCGGCUUAUCGACCGACUCCUUGA
Molecule: RNase P RNA, 405 nt
Filed under: Pseudohalioglobus lutimaris
Lineage: Bacteria; Pseudomonadati; Pseudomonadota; Gammaproteobacteria; Cellvibrionales; Halieaceae
Description: Bacterial RNase P class A
Rfam family: Bacterial RNase P class A
About the family: Ribonuclease P (RNase P) is a ubiquitous endoribonuclease, found in archaea, bacteria and eukarya as well as chloroplasts and mitochondria. Its best characterised activity is the generation of mature 5'-ends of tRNAs by cleaving the 5'-leader elements of precursor-tRNAs. Cellular RNase Ps are ribonucleoproteins.
Source: Rfam by way of RNAcentral